AUGUUGGAAAACAUGUUACAACAUCAUAUUUAUUCAAGGAAAUCUCGCGCAUUUAUGAGAGCAUCUGCUAUUUAUGGAAAUCCACUUAAAGAGCACGCUCAAUGGAGAUUUGACCUGAUCAGGAGCUUUAAGGAUAAGACAAACUUAAUGGAAUAGCUGGAUGACUUAUCCUAUCAUAUAAAGUCCUUUAAACACUUUUGGAAAGUCUUGAUAUAUCCUUAAUGAAGAUUGAAAAAGUAUCAGAUCACACUUUAUGAUUCUCAAGGAGCGUCUGAGCAUUUGUGAAGUAAGAGG
This 294-nucleotide long non-coding RNA is filed under the name Trifolium pratense (red clover). Its description in RNAcentral is "long non-coding RNA (TPRA_LNC012488)". The record is from RNAcentral. Lineage: Eukaryota; Viridiplantae; Streptophyta; Magnoliopsida; Fabales; Fabaceae.